RNAcentral lists this ribosomal RNA (256 nucleotides) under uncultured bacterium. Its description in RNAcentral is "partial 16S ribosomal RNA". It matches the Rfam family "Bacterial small subunit ribosomal RNA", at positions 524 to 779 of the family's 1533-position model. The record is from RNAcentral.
UACGAAGGGUGCUAGCGUUGUUCGGAAUCACGUGGCGUAAAGCGCGCGCAGGCGGCCAUUCAAGUCAGGGGUGAAAUCCUUGGGCUUAACCCAAGAAUUGCCUUUGAAACUGUAUGGCUGGAGUGUCGGAGGGGAUAGCGGAAUUCCUAAUGUAGCGGUGAAAUGCGUAGAUAUUAGGAGGAACACCGGUGGCGAAGGCGGCUAUCUGGACGACAACUGACGCUGAGGCGCGAAAGCGUGGGGAUCAAACAGGGAU